RNAcentral lists this ribosomal RNA (486 nucleotides) under Enterococcus faecium. RNAcentral's name for it is "bacterial SSU rRNA". It matches the Rfam family "Bacterial small subunit ribosomal RNA", at positions 840 to 1327 of the family's 1533-position model. Lineage: Bacteria; Bacillati; Bacillota; Bacilli; Lactobacillales; Enterococcaceae. The record is from RNAcentral.
UCAGUGCUGCAGCUAACGCAUUAAGCACUCCGCCUGGGGAGUACGACCGCAAGGUUGAAACUCAAAGGAAUUGACGGGGGCCCGCACAAGCGGUGGAGCAUGUGGUUUAAUUCGAAGCAACGCGAAGAACCUUACCAGGUCUUGACAUCCUUUGACCACUCUAGAGAUAGAGCUUCCCCUUCGGGGGCAAAGUGACAGGUGGUGCAUGGUUGUCGUCAGCUCGUGUCGUGAGAUGUUGGGUUAAGUCCCGCAACGAGCGCAACCCUUAUUGUUAGUUGCCAUCAUUCAGUUGGGCACUCUAGCAAGACUGCCGGUGACAAACCGGAGGAAGGUGGGGAUGACGUCAAAUCAUCAUGCCCCUUAUGACCUGGGCUACACACGUGCUACAAUGGGAAGUACAACGAGUUGCGAAGUCGCGAGGCUAAGCUAAUCUCUUAAAGCUUCUCUCAGUUCGGAUUGCAGGCUGCAACUCGCCUGCAUGAAGCC